Molecule: long non-coding RNA, 5198 nt
Organism: Clupea harengus (Atlantic herring)
Lineage: Eukaryota; Metazoa; Chordata; Actinopteri; Clupeiformes; Clupeidae
Source: Ensembl
UCCUUCUUAAAACAGGGUUUGGGGCUUAAUUUCAUUUUUGUGACAACCAGAGGGUAGCAUUGACUGACCUUUCAUACCACAAAAGAGAACGCUGCACUGCAUUUCGGGGACUGAGUGUUCCUGAAGGUAGAGAGUCUGCAAGUGACUGGGUAGAUUACUUGUUCUCAGUCUCACCAUUUCCACAUCUCAGAGAGGAAAUUCAAAGGCUAGUCAAUGUCUACAGAAAGGACAAACACACUCUGGAUUCUUAAAAUAAGAUUUUUUAAUAUUACUUAUUAUCAUAAAGAUAUAUUUACACACUUUACAGAAAUAGAAAAUAAAAACACAAAGCUACGCAUGAAAAGGAAAAUAAAAUAAGUACUCCAAGAGCUAAAGCUUAUCUUUUAUAAAUUAGAAACCAAAAGUUCAAAUAUGUACACAGUAUUUCAACCAUUUCUGAUACACUUGUUUUUUUUAAAUGUCAUUAAUUUAUGUCAUUUAUUUUUGCCCAGUUCAACAUCAAAAACAGAGACAGACUGUACUGUACAUUUGGCCUGGCGAGUAACAUGAGCACACACACACACACCUUUAACUUGAUAAAAGAUGAGGACUUAUACACUGUCUGUACGGUACUGUGCUUGUCACCUACUAAUACUGAUGAAAACUGCUGCAUUGCCCGAGUGAGUCCCAGUGGAGCUCUGCUAAGACCCAAGAACAGAACAGGAACAGAAUAGAGUGUCAAUGUUCUAUGAUGCCAGUGCAUAUAGUUUUUUUUUUUUUUAAAUAACACCAGGGCCAAGGUGACACCAAAAGCACUAUUUUCUAAAACACUGAGGUUUUAGCCUGCGCCAUGGCAUGGCGUCUGUUUUAUUUUUUUGUCUGUGUGGCGGGUGGGUGCUACACACUGGCUAUUGUAAGAUGGUGGCCUACGUAAGAAGAGAGCCUUGUCGUCUGAAGUAUGAAGCUCGUUUUGAGUUUGUAAUGACCCGUCACUGCCAGCGCUACUCUAGCGGGAGAUCUAAUCGAGUUAUCCUGUUGGCUGCUCGGCCUGCUGCCUACGUGUGAACGGGGAGCGGGAUUGGAUUUCAGCCACCCGAUCCCUCAGUCAUCACCGCAGAUACGCUAGGUGACAAGCCCAUCAGCAGCAAAGCAACUGUUGCAUGCCAGCCUCCAUUUUCUUUAUGGUUUUUUGUUCACCCAUGUCCUCUACUUGUGGUAUAUUACCCUUGUGGUAUUUCAAAUGAGCGAGCAGUGUAGAGAAUCGGGAUGAUGGUUGGUGAUGGUGGCCCCAAACGGGCACGGUGUAUCUGUGAUUCUGUGUAGAGCUUAGCCAGCAUACCCCAGGUUUACUUUAGCUUCCUAGUCACUUGCCUCUACAGUCUUCUCAACAUCUCCUAUAUCCUGACCUAUCACAUUUUCCAAGCCAAAUGCACAUCUUCUGUGUGUGUGAGAAAGGGUAAAAAAGCUGAAAUGUAUGCCUGAAACAUGCGGAAUACAAGUGCCCAAAGGCCUCUCAAGCCUUGUGAAAUGAACGGACGCGGAGCUCAAGAACAAAGACCAUCCUAAGAGGAAAUGGUUUUACUCUCUGAGUGAAAAGUAUUGGUUUGCCACUUCAGUGUUAGUCUGGGUGGACGCCUUUGUCCUGUUUUGUGUAACCAAGCCCCGUUCAACCUGAUGCAAUCUUACUGUUGGGGAAUAGUCAGAGAGGUCUGAGACGAAUCUAUGACAUUAAUUUUUUUUUCGUGUAGCAGACUAAUUUCUAUACUGUUACGACCACAACAAAAGAAAAGGAAAAUAAAUAAUUAUUGUAAAAAAAAAAAACUAAUACAGCUUUCCCACACUGUAUUUCCAAGUUCAAAGUAAGCUUUGGACAACCAGCUACACAAGAAUCAGUCAAAAAGGAAUAAUUGUCACAAUACACUGGAAAAACAUUACAUGCCAAGGAGACUUGUUUUUCGGGAUUUAUUUUUCCAGCAGCAUAAUGGAAUUGCAAAAAAGUGCAGCCUUGCAUGCCCGUACAGAGAGGACCAAAGCCAGGUGAUUGACGGGAAGGGGAGCCGAGACAGAGGGAGGCUUUGGAUUUCUAUCUUUUUUGAUAGAUGUGACUGAUCAUUCGUCUGUGGAUCUUUUCAGAAUCCGUGUGAUAGAAAGCCAGCAUCACCAGGGUGUAGCUAUGGUGACGGGUAAUGGGGAGAGAGAGAGCGGAGUCAGGGCAGGGGGGGUGGGGUUAGGUUUGUAGACUCAUGGCUCUGGUAAACAGGGGCGCUCGGAGACGGCGGUUUAUUUGACUUUUUCUCCCUGGAAGGGCUGCGCAGCUGGUGCAGACGGUGACAGAUACAUUCAUGAGACGAUGGUGUGGAAUAUAGGCAUCACUCCGCACCACGGUGGACAGGAAAGAGGAAAUGGUGAUUCUUGUUUUCUUUUUUUCUUUUAUUCUUGUUGUGUUUUAACACCCCUGCUUUUGACUGAAAUAAUAAAAAAGAACUCCUCCAGAUGGGACAACUGGGUUAUUCUGGGGGGGAGCUAUGCUGAGACUGACAUGAUUGGGAUUCACAGUGCCCUCAGAUUUGAAUAAAUUUUUAAUCAAGGUGAGCGUAGCUCGGCGGCAUAACCUUGCCUGAUCGUUAAAGAGCGUCUUGCACUCGGUGUGCAAGGCAAUACACAGCUCUCAGUCAGUUUCAGUCCUACUGAGGGUUGAAAAAAGAAAUGUCAGCAAAAUCUGUUUUUGAUCAUAUAGUGUCAAAAAAAAAGAAGAGAAGAGCGGAGCUCUGCCAACUCUGUGGUCAGACUCAGACUAAGCACGUGAAUCAUAGACGGGGUGUUAGGGAGUAACAGUCUUGUGUAAGCCUCAUGACAGGUCUUGGCAUCGGACUGUAGUAAGCAUCAGACGCUUAAAAGGAUUGAGUGAUUGCCAUGGAAAAGAGCAAACUGCACUGACCCUGCUACCAGUACGCAGUUGUGAACAGGGCCGCCCUAGGAUCGUCUGCUGGGGGGGUUUUCCACGUGUGGGGGCUUAUUACGUAAAAUCAGGGGUGGGGGGUCGGGUGUGGUCACGAACUGAGCCAGUCUGCCACACUGGCCUCAGACACUCCUGACUUUGACAGGGGCCCAUCUGAGACAGAUUAUCCCGGGGUUUUAAUGAGCAGAGUGAUCAAAGCUGUGGCCACCUGUGCUUAAGGAGGCUCAAGCUACAAGGCAACAGCUCCCUGCAAGGGGGGGAUAACAUGAACACCUUCAAAGUGGGACUGAUAUGACGGUAGUGGUGUGUGUAAAUAUAUAGGCAGGGAGAUAUAGUUUUAUAUAAUGCAUACAUACAUUUAGAUACAUUUGUGUGUGUGCAUGUGUGUUUAAGUGUAUGUGUACUUGUGUGUGUGUGUGUGUGAGAAAGAGAUUCUUAAAUAAAUGCACAAAGCAUAGACGAUUCUGGUAUAGGCUUGUAUCACAGCACCCUGAGGAAAUUAAAGAAAGACAAAGAAACUAAAUUAAACGAAAGCAACAGAAGAAAUUCCAGUAUGAUGUAAAGGCAUAGUGAUUCUGUCUUAGUGGUUGGGGGGCCAGGGCAACCCAGCUGCGGGUAUAGAGCACUGGUGGUAGGCUUUACGUGGUGUAACUGGGCUAAAGCAAAAUGGCUCCUUUAAAAGCAUACUGUGGUUUUGGUUUUUUUGCUCUAAUUUCUCUCAGACGCCUUUCCAGUCUUUUUAAAUAUGUUGUCUAGAUCUUGGACUUGAGUUGAACAAACAAAUAAACAUAAAAAAACCAUGACAAUAAAAAGCCGUUUGGAUGAGAACUGUCUGUUUGAGCGAGUCAGUGUUUUGAGACUUGAAAUAAGAGGUAAUGUGUUCGUUUUCUGUCUCUCCUGGCAGCAUUGUGGAGUAGAUCGUUAUUUGGCACUUCUUCUGAAGGUGGAGCGGCUCACCCCCAGGGUCUGGAGUGGACCGCCCCGGCCAGUUAACAGUCGAGCAAAAGAGGGCCACGGAACGCAGCGCAUGGGCUUAGGAGGCAAGGACUCGGGGACAUAAGGACACUGUCCCCAGCCGCUGUCCCACGCGAAGAUGGGACAGCUGGACACCCUGGAGGAAGCCACUCUGGAGUCCAGAGGGUUUUUAACAGUGAGCUCAUAAACAUGUAAUCGGUUUUGGAUAGAAGAGGAAUCCUCUAUGUGUAGUUAAGUGAGAUGAUGUGAAGCAGAAUGUUCGAGUGUCGUCUGUAGUAUAUGCACUAUAUUUUUUGGAACAAAGGUAAAAUUGGAAACUCUUUAACCCUCAGUUUACACGGUUUACUUGAUAUUUGAAUAUAGGAGUAAAAUGAGAUAAAAAUAAAAAAUAAAAUAAAAACAAGAAUAAUUAACAGUGGUAACUAAUUCAACCAGCAAUGGUACUUAAAUAAAAAAAACUCAUAUAGUGAUAAAUAUAUUGCAACAGACAGAUGAAAAAAAAAAAAGAUCUGUACAUGCUAUUGACCUGGCUUCUAUGGGAUCUCGGAAAUAAUUUUCAAAAAACAGGAUUACAUCGACAACAUUGGAUAAUGCCAUUACAUUUGGUUCUCUGCCCUGGUUCGCUCUCAUCAAACAACCCCCCCUGUUCUUAAGCCAGAUAUAACCUCAUAGAAGUGGAAUAAAGGAAUGUGGUCACCUUGAAUCAGUCAGAGAGGAUGAGACUAACCACACCUUAAGGAUGAAACUGACGGCUUUCGUUUCUAAGACUGUUUUGGACCUGGCUGCCCUGGGGGGGGGGGGGGGGGGGGACACGUCAUGCAAACUGUGUGCAACACAGCGGGGAGACAUCAAUGACAGGAGGGCUCUAGAAAGCAAAUGAGAGAAAAACACAGAGGGGGGAGAAAGAGAGAGAGAGAGAGAGAGAGAGAGAGGGGGGAUAGAAAGACAGAGAGAGAUGGAAAGUGGGAGAGGACAGAUAGAGUUAUCUGGUAGCUCGGGCUCAACACCCCCCCCACCCCCCACACCCCCUUGAUCCUGGCCCCCGAGGUCUUGGUAGAGCUUGAGGGUGAGUGGCUCGUCCUGGUUUUAUGUGGACAGAAGAAGAGUUGCUUGAAGAACCAGCAGGUGCUAUGGACAUCACUCUUCAGUUUGGGACUAGCGUAGACCCCUCGUAGCAAGGCCCCCCAAGGCAAAGGAAGAGCAUUAAAUCAGAACCUGGGGGAGGGCGCUCGAAGCAGUGCCUGCAAGAAGCCCAAAGAGAGAGGCACCAUGAGGAUACAGCAUA